UAACGCGUGGGUAACCUGCCUCACACAGGGGGAUAACAGUUGGAAACGACCGCUAAUACCGCAUAACCCGCUAGGGCCGCAUGGCCCGGACGGAAAAGAUUUAUCGGUGUGAGAUGGACCCGCGUUGGAUUAGCUAGUUGGCAGGGUAACGGCCUACCAAGGCGACGAUCCAUAGCCGGCCUGAGAGGGUGAACGGCCACAUUGGGACUGAGACACGGCCCAAACUCCUACGGGAGGCAGCAGUGGGGAAUAUUGCACAAUGGGGGAAACCCUGAUGCAGCGACGCCGCGUGAGUGAAGAAGUAUUUCGGUAUGUAAAGCUCUAUCAGCAGGGAAGAAAAUGACGGUACCUGACUAAGAAGCCCCGGCUAACUACGUGCCAGCAGCCGCGGUAAUACGUAGGGGGCAAGCGUUAUCCGGAUUUACUGGGUGUAAAGGGAGCGUAGACGGUUAAGCAAGUCAGAAGUGAAAGGCUGGGGCUCAACCCCGGGACUGCUUUUGAAACUGUUUAACUAGAGUGCUGGAGAGGUAAGCGGAAUUCCUAGUGUAGCGGUGAAAUGCGUAGAUAUUAGGAGGAACACCAGUGGCGAAGGCGGCUUACUGGACAGUANCUGACGUUGAGGCUCGAAAGCGUGGGGAGCAAACAGGAUUANAUACCCUGG
Molecule: ribosomal RNA, 661 nt
Filed under: uncultured bacterium
Lineage: Bacteria
Description: bacterial SSU rRNA
Rfam family: Bacterial small subunit ribosomal RNA
Source: RNAcentral